Molecule: ribosomal RNA, 440 nt
Filed under: uncultured bacterium
Lineage: Bacteria
Description: bacterial SSU rRNA
Rfam family: Bacterial small subunit ribosomal RNA
Source: RNAcentral
AACGCGAAGAACCUUACCCGGCCUUGACAUCUAUGGAAUUCCUCAGAGAUGAGGAAGUGCCUUCGGGAACCAUAAGACAGGUGCUGCAUGGCUGUCGUCAGCUCGUGUCGUGAGAUGUUGGGUUAAGUCCCGCAACGAGCGCAACCCUUGUCCUUAGUUGCCAUCAUUAAGUUGGGAACUCUAAGGAGACCGCCGGUGACAAACCGGAGGAAGGUGGGGAUGACGUCAAGUCAUCAUGGCCUUUAUGGCCGGGGCUACACACGUGCUACAAUGGCAGGUACAGAGGGAAGCCAACUCGCGAGAGGGAGCCAAUCCCAGAAAGCCUGUCGUAGUCCGGAUCGGAGUCUGCAACUCGACUCUGUGAAGUCGGAAUCGCUAGUAAUCGCAGAUCAGCAUUGCUGCGGUGAAUACGUUCCCGGGCCUUGUACACACCGCUAGUC